Molecule: long non-coding RNA, 158 nt
Organism: Bufo gargarizans (Asiatic toad)
Lineage: Eukaryota; Metazoa; Chordata; Amphibia; Anura; Bufonidae
Exons: 2
Source: RefSeq, a predicted model, not a curated record
UGUAUUUGCUGUAAUUUCCCUGUCCGCCAGCAGGUGGCAGCAAUAUGUAAGCAGACCAAGGUUAGUUAGUAUAUCUAGUCUGGAAUAGUCCAUUCCAGUAUAGGCUCCCCUGUGUGAGCAGAAGUGGGACGUUCCCAUGUCCUGUCUCAUGAGGAGGA